RNAcentral lists this ribosomal RNA (507 nucleotides) under Triticum aestivum (bread wheat). RNAcentral's name for it is "partial small subunit ribosomal RNA". Lineage: Eukaryota; Viridiplantae; Streptophyta; Magnoliopsida; Poales; Poaceae. The record is from RNAcentral.
AUGGAUCCUAUUUACCAUCUUGACUUGAAACCUGCAAACAUAUUAUUAGACCAGAACAUGGUCCCCAAAAUUGGAGAUUUUGGUUUGUCAAGACUCUUCCCUUCAGUACAAACAUAUAUCACGAUUAAAAUUAUAGGAACACACGGAUACAUGCCACCAGAAUAUAUCGAGAGAUAUGAAAUCACAUCGAAGUAUGACGUAUUCAGUUUGGGUGUUGUAAUCAUGCGGAUAAUGGCAGGAGAUGAGGGCUACUCCAAAUGUGCGCAUAUGUCUUCGCAAGAAUUUAUUGAGCAUGUACAUGAAAACUGGGGGAAACGAUUGCGGGAAACAAUGUCGUCAUAUAUAUCAGAGCAGCUUAGCACAUGUCUUGAAAUAGCGCUGAGGUGUGUGGAGGUCGAUCAUGAGAAACGACCUACUAUAGCAGAGAUUGUUGAUGAACUGAACAAGGUUGAUACUGCAGAAAGUUCAACUAAAGACAAGCUACUAUUUACCGUUCAACCACUAUAG